Molecule: unclassified non-coding RNA, 336 nt
Filed under: soil metagenome
Description: partial contains 5.8S ribosomal RNA, internal transcribed spacer 2, and large subunit ribosomal RNA
Rfam family: 5.8S ribosomal RNA (bases 1-120)
Source: RNAcentral
GAUGAAGAACGUAGCGAAAUGCGAUAAGUAGUGUGAAUUGCAGAAUUCAGUGAAUCAUCGAAUCUUUGAACGCACAUUGCGCCCCUUGGUAUUCCAUGGGGCAUGCCUGUUCGAGCGUCAUUUGUACCUUCAAGCUUUGCUUGGUGUUGGGUAUUUGUCUCGCCUUUGCGUGUAGACUCGCCUUAAAAUAAUUGGCAGCCGGCGUAUUGAUUUCGGAGCGCAGUACAUCUCGCGCUUUGCACUCAUAACGACAGCGUCCAAAAGUACAUUUUACACUCUUGACCUCGGAUCAGGUAGGGAUACCCGCUGAACUUAAGCAUAUCAAUAAGCGGAGGA